CCUGGGUAGGGCUGCUCAUAUGGAGCACGGGAUUGGUCCUGAUCCCAGCACUCUUUGCUGGGUAGCCCAGGGUUUUUUUACCCAGGCUAAUAGUGGGGGGGAGGGUGUAAGUGUGCCCCUCCACCCCACUCCCUCAUUGUGUGAAUCAUCCACAAAGCUGGGUGGCAAGACCACCUGGCAGCAAGGGAUUCCCCCAAUGCACCACACGCUCCUGGCACAAUACACUGAGGGAUGCUGGAGGUCUUCUUCCUGUGGUUCCUGGCUCUGCUGCUCACUGUGGCACCACUCGUGUAUAUUGUGCAGUGUGAGGACUCACCAGGGAAGCUAGGCGGAAGUCGAAGUCAGGUUACAAGCCAGAGUCAGAAACCAGGAAGUCGGGUCCACACAGGAGGAAUAGGAAAUCAGGCCUAGUCAAGCCAAGGUCAGGAGCCAGGGGAUCAGUUCUAUGAAGGAACAGGCAAAUCGGGCCAGUCAAAGCCAGGGUCAGAAGCCAGGAGAUCAUGACAGUGUGCUGCUGAUCAAGUGCAGAAAGACAGCACACUGUCAUGAUAUCUGAGCCCGACUCUUCCUCCUCUGAGAUGGACCCUGAACCUGACCACUCCUCAUCUGUAACAGACCCCGAGCCUGACCCUGCUUCAGCCAAGACAGACCCUGAGCUUGAGACAGACUCUGAAGACCUGACUGAAGAAGCAGGACAUGAGAGUCCCCUCCUCUAGAACUUGAGGGACCCUGUGCGCAGUUGCACAAGAGUGGUCUUGCACAGAGUUGCACAAUGAAGAGCUAUUAUUUCCAAUAACCAUCCAUUGUGAAACUGCAUUUUUGCAAUUCUUAUGUUUGCACAAGAGUGCUCUUUCACAACCGUGCACACAUUUCAUUAAAAGGCACAUAUAACGUUGCAAAGUA
This is a long non-coding RNA of Hemicordylus capensis (graceful crag lizard), 903 nucleotides long. RefSeq lists it as uncharacterized. The transcript is spliced from 2 exons. The record is from RefSeq and is a predicted model, not a curated record. Lineage: Eukaryota; Metazoa; Chordata; Lepidosauria; Squamata; Cordylidae.